RNAcentral lists this unclassified non-coding RNA (737 nucleotides) under Hevea brasiliensis (rubber tree). Lineage: Eukaryota; Viridiplantae; Streptophyta; Magnoliopsida; Malpighiales; Euphorbiaceae. The record is from RNAcentral.
GGCUAUUGUUGGGAAUGGAAUUCAGGAUUGUAAUAUUGGGGAAGGGCUCUUUAAGAACGAGGCAGUUGAAUUUUGCACGAAUGGAGAAAAAAGCUCCUCAUUACAAUUAAAUGGCAGUAAUAAAAACAAUUUUGAAAGUAAGGUGCUUGUGGUGAAUUUUGAUAAUGGAUCGAAUCCGUUGGAUGGGAGGGCCGAAGAUAGGUUGAAUUCGUUGGAUAAUUCUGUCAAGGAAAAUGGGAAUAAGGGCGGUCUUGAGGGGCCAAGGGAACGAGACUUUGAUAGUGAAGAAAGGUACUGUAAAAAGGCUAGGAUUACCAGCAGUUACAAAAAUGAGAGACAGUACUCUAGUAGAGGGCAAUAUGAUCCAAGGGACAGGGAGAGGAGCUCUAACAGGAAGAGGCUGCGAGAUUGGGACGACAUUGAUAGGAGGGACAAGUAUCAUAAUCGGAGAAGAGAUAGGUAUAACGGUAGGAGAGAUGGGAGAGAUAGGGAUUGGAGGGAUAGGGAACCAAGGGGUUAUUGGGAGAGGGACCGUUCUGGGUCCAAUGAGAUGAUUUUUCACUCAGGUAGUUGGGAAGCUGAUCAUAACAAAGAAGGAAAGGAAAGCAAUGACAAGGAUGAGGAGUGCAAUGGAAAGCCAGAGAAGAAAUCCGAGGAGACCAAGGAGAAAUUCCCUGAGGAACAAGCCCGCCAAUAUCAAUUGGAUGUUCUUGAACAGGCCAAGAAGAGAAAUACAA